UACGUAGGGUGCGAGCGUUAAUCGGAAUUACUGGGCGUAAAGCGUGCGCAGGCGGUUCGUUGUGUCCGUCGUGAAAGCCCCGGGCUUAACCUGGGAAUGGCAUUUGGGACUGCAAGGCUUGAGUGCGGCAGAGGAGACUGGAAUUCCUGGUGUAGCAGUGAAAUGCGUAGAUAUCAGGAGGAACACCGAUGGCGAAGGCAGGUCUCUGGGCUGACACUGACGCUCAUGCACGAAAGCGUGGGGAGCAAACAGG
This 253-nucleotide ribosomal RNA is filed under the name uncultured bacterium. Its description in RNAcentral is "partial 16S ribosomal RNA". It matches the Rfam family "Bacterial small subunit ribosomal RNA", at positions 524 to 776 of the family's 1533-position model. The record is from RNAcentral.